UAACAUUUCAUCGGGAACUACACGAUAACAGGAUGAGGAACUGUCGAGCUGUUCCAGUGAAUAAAAACGUUCCUGUUCAGCAUUUAGUUUUAGCUUCUCUGAAGCCAAGCUGCUUGAUGGACAAAUAAGGUAACAUUUGUGGGG
Austrofundulus limnaeus is the source of this 144-nucleotide long non-coding RNA. RefSeq lists it as uncharacterized. The transcript is spliced from 3 exons. Lineage: Eukaryota; Metazoa; Chordata; Actinopteri; Cyprinodontiformes; Rivulidae. The record is from RefSeq and is a predicted model, not a curated record.